Gambusia affinis (western mosquitofish) is the source of this 656-nucleotide long non-coding RNA. RefSeq lists it as uncharacterized. The record is from RefSeq and is a predicted model, not a curated record. The transcript is spliced from 4 exons. Lineage: Eukaryota; Metazoa; Chordata; Actinopteri; Cyprinodontiformes; Poeciliidae.
GGUCAUGUUAGCCUGUAGGGUUGAACCGACAUGCUAUGCUAGGCGGCUGAAAGAGAUAAGCUAAGGGGAAACGGUUAUAACUUAUCUGGGUCUACAUUCGUGUUUCGGACUGUUUCACCUUCUGAUGAUGGACCGAAAGGAAUUAUCUGGAUUCUUCUGCUGUGGAUAGAAAGGUGGAGUUUGCCGGUUUUUAUUCCACAUGGCCAUGAUGUGAAGUAAAUUCAAGCUCAUCCAUCUAGUGGGGUUUGAAUGGCUACCGACAUCCAUCCUGCAAGAGAAUUGAAAGGAUUUCACUGGGUCCCGCUGGGGCUCCCCACAGAGCCAGAGUAAAAACAGUUUGAGAGAUUUCUCCAUGUGCCGCUGCAAAGAAUACAGAAGAUUUGUCCUUGGAGACAUCCUCAAAGUAUAAUGCAUGGGUCUGGAUUCACCCACGAGAGGAAGGUCAGAGGUGCAUCACUGCUACCGUAGCAGCUCGGUUCAGGAUUACACCUUUCUCUUGAUGUCCAUGUUCCUCUGUCACAUCAGUGACAGAAAUAUUUAUGCCGUUUAAAAGGGUAUUACUCAGAAACCAGUCUGAUCUUUUGCAGCUACAACAGGGAGAAUAAAUGACGAGUCUGAACAUAGAUUUCUGAAAUACAUUCUCACUGUACGUUGGU